UACGUGGGGGGCAAGCGUUGUUCGGAAUUACUGGGCGUAAAGGGCUCGUAGGCGGCCAACUAAGUCAGACGUGAAAUCCCUCGGCUUAACCGGGGAACUGCGUCUGAUACUGGAUGGCUUGAGGUUGGGAGAGGGAUGCGGAAUUCCAGGUGUAGCGGUGAAAUGCGUAGAUAUCUGGAGGAACACCGGUGGCGAAGGCGGCAUCCUGGACCAAUUCUGACGCUGAGGAGCGAGAGCCAGGGGAGCAAACGGG
Molecule: ribosomal RNA, 253 nt
Filed under: uncultured bacterium
Lineage: Bacteria
Description: partial 16S ribosomal RNA
Rfam family: Bacterial small subunit ribosomal RNA
Source: RNAcentral